Molecule: ribosomal RNA, 235 nt
Filed under: uncultured bacterium
Lineage: Bacteria
Description: partial 16S ribosomal RNA
Rfam family: Bacterial small subunit ribosomal RNA
Source: RNAcentral
UACGAAGGGGGCUAGCGUUGCUCGGAAUUACUGGGCGUAAAGGGCGCGUAGGCGGCACUGUUAGUCAGGCGUGAAAGUCCUGGGCUCAACCUGGGAACUGCGCUUGAUACGGCAGAGCUAGAGGAUGGAAGAGGGUCGCGGAAUUCCCAGUGUAGAGGUGAAAUUCGUAGAUAUUGGGAAGAACACCGGUGGCGAAGGCGGCGACCUGGCCCAUUACUGACGCUGAGGCGCGACA